UGGGGAAUUUUGGACAAUGGGCGCAAGCCUGAUCCAGCCAUGCCGCGUGCGGGAAGAAGGCCUUCGGGUUGUAAACCGCUUUUGNCAGGGAAGAAAUCUUCUGAGUUAAUACCUCGGGAGGAUGACGGUACCUGAAGAAUAAGCACCGGCUAACUACGUGCCAGCAGCCGCGGUAAUACGUAGGGUGCAAGCGUUAAUCGGAAUACUGGGCGUAAAGCGUGCGCAGGCGGUUUUGUAAGACAGAGGUGAAAUCCCCGGGCUCAACCUGGGAACUGCCUUUGUGACUGCAAGGCUUGAGUGCGGCAGAGGGGGGAUGGAAUUCCGCGUGUAGCAGUGAAAUGCGUAGAUAUGCGGAGGAACACCGAUGGCGAAGGCAAUCCCCUGGGCCUGCACUGACGCUCAUGCACGAAAGCGUGGGGAGCAAACAGGAUUAGAUAGCCCUGGUAGUCCACGCCCUAAAACCGAUGUCAACUGGUUGUUGGGAAGGUUCCUUCUCAGUAACGUAGCUAACGCGUGAA
RNAcentral lists this ribosomal RNA (518 nucleotides) under uncultured bacterium. RNAcentral describes it as "partial 16S ribosomal RNA". It matches the Rfam family "Bacterial small subunit ribosomal RNA", at positions 355 to 863 of the family's 1533-position model. The record is from RNAcentral.